This 508-nucleotide ribosomal RNA is filed under the name uncultured bacterium. RNAcentral describes it as "partial 16S ribosomal RNA". It matches the Rfam family "Bacterial small subunit ribosomal RNA", at positions 29 to 523 of the family's 1533-position model. The record is from RNAcentral.
AUUGAACGCCGGCGGCAGGCCUAACACAUGCAAGUCGAGCGGCAGCGGGAAAGUAGCUUGCUACUUUUGCCGGCGAGCGGCGGACGGGUGAGUAAUGCCUGGGGAUCUGCCCAGUCGAGGGGGAUAACUACUGGAAACGGUAGCUAAUACCGCAUACGCCCUACGGGGGAAAGCAGGGGACCUUCGGGCCUUGCGCGAUUGGAUGAACCCAGGUGGGAUUAGCUAGUUGGUGAGGUAAUGGCUCACCAAGGCGACGAUCCCUAGCUGGUCUGAGAGGAUGAUCAGCCACACUGGAACUGAGACACGGUCCAGACUCCUACGGGAGGCAGCAGUGGGGAAUAUUGCACAAUGGGGGAAACCCUGAUGCAGCCAUGCCGCGUGUGUGAAGAAGGCCUUCGGGUUGUAAAGCACUUUCAGCGAGGAGGAAAGGUUGGUAGCUAAUAACUGCCAGCUGUGACGUUACUCGCAGAAGAAGCACCGGCUAACUCCGUGCCAGCCGCCGCAGUAA